UCUUUAAUAGCUUAGGGGUUAGAGCAAACAGCUGUUAACUGUUAGGUCAUAGGUUCAAAUCCUAUUUAAAGAG
This 73-nucleotide transfer RNA is filed under the name Rickettsiales bacterium. RNAcentral's name for it is "tRNA-Asn". It matches the Rfam family "tRNA". Rfam says of the family: Transfer RNA (tRNA) molecules are approximately 80 nucleotides in length. The record is from RNAcentral. Lineage: Bacteria; Pseudomonadati; Pseudomonadota; Alphaproteobacteria; Rickettsiales.